This is a long non-coding RNA of Pipra filicauda (Wire-tailed manakin), 7700 nucleotides long. RefSeq lists it as uncharacterized. Lineage: Eukaryota; Metazoa; Chordata; Aves; Passeriformes; Pipridae. The record is from RefSeq and is a predicted model, not a curated record. The transcript is spliced from 4 exons.
UUUUUUGGUUUUAGUGCAAAAAAACAAGAGAUUCUUGUCAAGAUGCACAAGACCCUGCGCUGGCGCUGAGGCGGCCGGGCCUGCAAGGUGUUGGCAUCUCGGGGAACGCCGUGGGUCUUCUCUGAUCAUCCUUACUGGAAGGACCCCCUCUCUAACAUAAGGAAGGACUUUUUAUAUUAUAUUUAUUAUGGGUUUUUUAUGUUUUCUCUCCUCAGCGGGAGGCACGGCCCGGGGUGGAGCUGCAGAGGGCAGUGUGGGAGAGGGAAAGCCCGGCCAAGAUGGCGGCGGGGCCGGCGCGCUCGGGCGCUAGAGGGAGAUGGCGGGCUGCGGCUCGAGCAGCUCUCACAAAGCCAAAAAUACGACUUCUGGGGGCUGUUUGGGUUUUUAACCCCCAAAUGGACCCUCCCUGCCCGCAGCUCUUGUGCCGGGCUGCAGAGAGGCGGCAGCCGGCGCCCCUCGGGCGGCCGCGCCUCGAGCUCUGCACAGAUCUCAGCAGCUCCCGCUUCUUAUUUUAGAGCUGAGGGGCUGGGGGGAGAGUCUGGUCGGGAGUUAUUUUGAUAAAGGCAUCUUGAGAAACAUCUUGAGGAACGCAGCAAGUUAGAAGUAAAGGCUGAGGGAAAAAAACCGUACUGUCUGUAAGUUCAUGUGUCGCCUGAGGUGAUGGAAAAAUGAAGUGGGAAAAGGAGCAGGUGCGACAGACUGGGGUUCGCAUGUGUUCAUUUACUUGUCAUAAAAGCAGGCAGCAAACGCUUUGCUUUCUCCGCCAGCUCCUCGGAACGUGGUCCCUGGUGCCCUCAGCCUUCGGGAGGACAGACUGGCAACAGCAGCAGAAAUGCCAGGGAAGGUCAAUGUGGUGACCUGCAGCUCCACAUAAACCCGGUUAAAAGACUGAAUUUGCCUGUCACCAAAAGGCUAAACCAUGAAUGUCCUUGAAUUUGACUUCCAAAAUACCUGCUGCAUGUUGAUGUGUGAACACAGCACUUUGCUGAACCUGGGAAUCCAGCUGAAAAAUAAGAAGACAGCUCUGCAACACCACACCUGUUGGUGGUUGACUUCAGGAAGUUCAGAUGGAUUAUCUGGAAGGCAAAUACAGAGUUAGCACCUCUGAAAUAUCUGGUAACUGAAGACCUGCUGAAGGUAAUAAACUCACUGCUGAGCAUCAGAGGAAUCCCAGGAGUUCCUGAAACUGCAAGAGUUGGGGCAAAAUCACCUAUUUUGGUUGGUUUAGUAAAGAUAAACAGCCACCAGGCUGGGGUUGUGGAGCUCUUGUUGCCUCUGCAGCUCAGUAAGAGACUCUCAGGUUUACAUAGUUUACCCAAGAUCAAAAUGAGCUUAGUAUUCCAAACUUCUCUGUGUAUAUUAUCCAUUGUAUUAUAUCUCCAUCCUGUAGAUCUAUGAAAUCAGUAAACAAGAGAAGUCAUUCUUCUGGAUGGAGAAUGAAACUCUCCUGAUAACUUUAAAAGACAAAACAGGAAGUGUUGUUUUAAAAUGUUUACCCAGGAUGAAGUAAUGGUUUCUAAUGCCCCAGCACAGCCACAGCCUGGGGUGGUUUGCCACAGGGCAGACAGGGACCUGGGACCAUGCCAGCUUCAGGAAGCAGAGUUCAGGCUCUCUGUGAAUCCCAGGGCAUAUUCCAGAGCAAGCCAAGCCAAUAACUGGGUCUUUGCAGUAAUCAGACUUUCAGGUUCUCAAAAUGCUGACACGUAUCAGUCCAGAGGAACCCAAAGACUGAAGAUAUUUUCCUUUGAAAUCUGACCAAAGGCUCCCUUCUCAUAUUUUCCCUGAGGGGAGCAGAAUCCACAAAUCUGGAAGCUCUGCCAGCUUUGGUAGACACAAGUUUCCAAACACUGCUGGUGCUGUAGAGUUAAACCAAAAGCCCUUUCAGGUGAUUUAUGUGUCUGCUCUGCCUGAGAUGUUGUGAAAUCCCUGCAGCCUAAGAGAGUCCGUGGGGAACUGGCCCCUGUUGUCGGAAGAGAGUCCAUUGCAGGAGGCAUUUUCAUUUUGAUUCAUUGCCUUUUUCCAGUGUUUUCCUGGAAGACUUUCAGCAGCUCUAAUUCUGCCUCAUGUGCUUUGAUGGCAGCCACCUCAGGGCCCAUCCUGGCACACUGAACGUGUGCUCGUGGCACUCAGCCCUGGUUUGGGCAGUGCCUAAAGGCCACCACAGAGCUCCAGCUGCUCACUGGGCUAAGGCAUGUGUUUGCUUGUUUAGACUUGCUUAGUUUUGGGUCCGAGUCACCUGUGCCAGGCUCUGUAAGGCAGGAAAAGGUGGCUCCCUAACCUGGAAUGGCCCAACCAAGACUGUGCAAAGACAAGGAAACAGCUUUGCCUUAACGGGAUGGGCUUUGGUGCCAAAGUGUUUUUAGUGGUUUAUGUAUUGCCCAGUUUUUUCAGGCAGUGAAGAAGCACUUUAGGGUAGGAUUUGGUAGAUACUCAAACCAACAGCUUUCAGGUGAGCUUCUCCCACAGGUGGAAGGUGACAGUAAGGGACAAAGUGUGCGGGUUCAUAGGCUGCAGCUGAAGUUUGGAGGGAGCAGGGCUGGGAGGUUUGAUCUGUUCCUUCUCUUACUCCAGUCAUCCUAAACAAGGUCAGGGUACAGCAGGAUAAAUUUAGUAUCUCACUAAACCAUAGAGAGGAGCUGAAUACUUGCAGGUCCACAGUGAAGACAGACCUCUGUCCAUCUUGUGGAGACUGUUUUCAUUCCCAGGAGUCUGGUCAGUCAUGGGUUUUGCUGAUGUCUUGUAUGUGUUGAGCUGAUUGUUUAAUGGUCCAAAUGGCCCCUGGUUGUUUAGUAUCUCUGUAUCUCACAGACUUAACUGUUCUUCGGUUGUCUGGGGUUGUUUUGUAUUUUUGUCAUGUUUGUAAGAGCAGUUUAUAAAUGAGGAAUCCAGUCACAGAAACAUGAAGUUCAGGACUGUAUGGAGCUGCUGAAGGAGGAGGGGAUGAGCCCUCAGCUGUGGUUCCCCAAAUUCAUCCUUUUCCCCAGCCUGGCAGGCACCACUGCAGGGCUGAUGUUUUAGAGACCAAGUACCCAGGUGACUCAGGAAGGAGAGGAGAGAUGCAGAAUAACAUGUCCAGCCCCAGAGCUGGUCGUUUCAAACCAUGAAUAACUCCUGUUUUCCAGGAAUCCAUUCUAACACUACUAGAGCUUAAGCUGCUCUUUACCCAAACAAAAGACUUAUCCCUUCUGGGUUGCAAUGUAGCAUUUCUGCCUGCCCUAAAUUCACUUAAUUUUAACUUAAUCGCUCCGUAUUCUUUAAUGUUUCGGUGAAACUGCCACAUUGCUGUCUCAGCAGUAGUAGUGAGGAGUUGAAAGGAGCUAAUCAUGCUGUGUAGCUCAAUGCCUUGUGGUUUAUUAUUAAGAAUAAAGACAAGCACUCCCCUAUUUUAUCUCUAAUGUGCAGUUUACUUAAUUCCUAAUCCUCUGAAGAGAUGCUGUUCUUCCAAACGGUUUGGCUUCUGCCUGGCUUUCAAGCUGCACAUGAAACUUAAAAGCUGAACUGCUCGGUGCUGAGAGAAUUUUAAUAAAUGCAUGCAUAAGUCAGUCUCCAUUAGCUGCUCCUUAAACAUUCAGGGAGAGAAGUUUUCCUGGUGUGCUUAGUUGGAAUUAUUGCUUUGCUGUUGUGUGGAAUGGCCACUGAGUCGAGAUGCUGAGCAAACACACCCACAGACUGAGAGCUGAGUUCUUUAAGUGUUGGGAACUGUCUGAAAUACCUGUCCUUCCUCGGCUGCCAGUUCUUUUCUUAGCCUGACUGCUGCCUCCUCCCUGAUAUUUCCAUAGCUCCUGCCUCCUCCCCGUUAUUUCCCCAGCUCCUGCUAAAUCUGGCUGCUGAGUUCACUGAGGACAGGGGGCUGUGGGACGAGUUAACGAGCUCUGCAAGCAGCUACAUCAUUACAGUGAUACUUCUCUUUCUUUUCAAUGUGUUACAGUGCAAAGGUAUUUAGCAAACAGUUUAACAAGCUUCGUCUGCAGAAUUUUGACAUUGUUGUGUUUUCACUUGUGGAAGAACUUGUCUCUGUUCAGCCUCUGGAAUAAAAGCUCCAAAAAUUCCAUGAUGACCUCUGUACUCAGCUUAAAUUUUCAAACUGCACAGAGUCACCCAAGCUCAUCGUUUUAGAGUAUUAUUUCCAUUGCCCCUCUCUUUUGGGUGCAUUUAAUUUUAGCCUCUUGCAAUUUUCCUGUUUCACCAAUAGCCCCCAGAUUCAUCUUGCUCCACUCAGCUAAUUGGAUCAACACAUUAUAUUUAUUGUAGGGUAUUGAUUUGAUAAUACCAAUCUUCCACUCUUAACUGUAAUCUCAUAUUUCUCUGCCCUCAAAGCAGCCCUGCUAAAUGUCCCCCCUGCCCCACCUUUGCACUUGGACUUCAUAUAAAACCACAGCAAUGAUUAACAGCCCUGAAGCCACUGAUGCUCUGCCCUGCAGGCCCCUUCAGGAGCACUGAAGGCUGAGGCAAAGGUGUUGGAUUUCCCACAUCUCCUAAUGGCUGCUCCAUGCUGACAGAAAUGACCUCCCAAAAUCUGGAGCUUGUGUUUCUGCAGGUGGUUAGUCACCUGGGUGCUUAGCCUUGGUACCUUUGGAGGAGGUUAAAUACCUCGAAUAUUUGCUUGCCUGUACUCACUCUUCAAUGUUCAGACUUCUGGCAAGAGCUCAACAUCCCAGUUCCCUGGUGACCUGUGGAAAUCUCUACCUAAGUGUCUAAAGCAUAUAAAUCUUCAGCUUUUCAUAGAGUCAAGAAAUGUUUUCAAUGAGACAAAGUCUGAUUCACUGAAAUGAGCAGCUUUUCAGGAACUGUGGCAAACAGAAUCUUUGUGAUCCUCUGUGUAAAGCAAGUGCUUUGCUGUGUGACAGUCAGGGUGCAGGUUCAGGUACUAUGGACUCUGCAGAGUUUGAAGCUUCAUGUCCAUCUUUAUUUUGACUCCUGAAAAACCACAUUCAUUAUGUAGACUACAUUCUCUGAAAGGCUGGAAUUGUGCUCUGCACUGGCCAGGGGUUUUCCUCAGCUUCUCCUCAAGUGAGCUGAGACUUCCUCCCGCCUGAGCUGCCUUUGCUUGUCUAUGGGUGCCCCUGACCAUGGUGAGGCUCCAUCAGCCAUCCUGCCCCACACCAAGGCUGAUCCUUUGCAAGGAGCUGCUUGCCCUUGGGAUCCUGGCAGAUCUCCCAUCUCCUCCAAAACAGGACUGCAACAAUGCCUUGUUUUGGCAGAGGGGAAACGGGAAGCAGAAUGGUCUGUUUGUCCCUUGGUUACAGCACGGUGAUAAUAACACCAAGGUUGUGGGUUUAAUCCCUGUCCAGGCCUGUCAUGGAAGAGUUGGACUCGAUGAUCCUCGUGGGUCCCUUCCAACUCAGAGGAUUCUGUGAUUCCAUGAAACCUGCUGUGCAGUCCAGAGCAGAGGCUGAUGUGCUCACACAGGGGAGAGCAGUCUCCAGGUGUAGGCAGCUUCAUUUUCUGUCUCACUUUGCAGUUGUCACAGUUUUAAAGAAUAUUUUCAUUAUUCUAUGGCAGUUGUAAGACACUUCCAUGGUUUGACAGCUUCUAUGCUGGAUAACUACUCAUCACACAGAUGAAUUUCUCUUUCAAUAUCAACAUUUCACUUUUCUGAGAUCCAAAGCAAGGAGAGGACAACCAUCAGGAAGUAACGGGCUGUAAACACGAGGAGUGGGAAUGCUGUCACAGGGAUACCAAAGGAAGAUGUGAUUGUGAGGGAGUGGGGUUUUUUGUGCUAUUUGACAUUACAUUGGCUAAGAAUUUGGUUAUGUGCUUCAGAAUCACUGCUGAGAGGGGAGGGGGAAACACAGCAGAAAAAUUGCUGGUUGUACCUUGCCGAUGCCUAAAAUCUUUCUGACAUAGUACCUGCUCAACCUUAGCUAUUCCUUGAGAAAAUAAACCUUUUUCACUUCUUUCUGUUGUGACAGGUUAUCUCUGACUGAAGUUUUACUUCUAUUUAUUAAUAAAGAAAUGCAUUUCCCCCUCAGAGAAAAGAAUUACUUAUCACUACUCUAACUUGCUAAUUCUUCUCACUUCUCUGAAGGAACAGUGCAGUAGCUGACAGCAGUUUUUGGGAGGCCCAGCCCUGGGACUGCAAACAAAUGUGUGUUCAGUCUGGGAUUCUGUCUCCAAACAGCAGCAAGGCUCCUGGAAUGGGAGUGUAAGUUAAUUUAGGUCAAGACUUACAAGGAGUGGCUGAGGUGCCUUGUCUUGUUCAGCCUGGACAAGAGGAGGCUGAGGGGAUCUCCUGGCAGCUGCACCUUCCUUGAGGGGAGGUGCUGAUCUCCUCCCUCUGACCAGGACAGGACACGAGGGAACGGAGUGAAGCUGCCAGAGGAAGUUCAGGUUGGACAUUAGGACAAGGCUCUUCUCUGGGAGGGUGGUUGGUCCCUGGAACAGGCUCCCCAGAGCAGUGCUCAUGGCACCAAGCGUGACAGUUCAAGGAGCAUCUGGAGGACACUCUUUGUCACAAGGUUUAGUUUUUGGUAGUCCUGCAAGGAGAGGGGAAUUGGACUUGUUGAUCCUUGUGGGUUCCUUAAAACUGGAGGCAUUCUGUGAUUCAGUAACGUACCAUUCUUCUGACUUUGUGACGUAAAUGCUUUGCAAGACAAGCAAGCACAUCAGACCAUCUCUGCCACCUGGAGCCAGUGGAUCUACUUUUGGGUGGAGAGGUCAGGCAGGUGUUCAUGAUUUGUGUAGAAACAGGCCUGGCAGCACCCACAUCACAGGACAGGAAAAAGGCUUUGCUAAACAGGUUGCUGUGCAGUGAAUAAAUUUGUUUUAAAAAACAGAGCUUGCAAAUUAGGUUUUAUUUCUCAUAAUAGCUUCUGUAGAACUGAAGUCAUGCUUGGCAAUUACCUGAGGAGCAUGAAUGUCCUCUGGUACAACAUUGUCCAUGACAGUGGGCUAUUACUUCAUGUCAGAGCAGCUGAAAAACAGAGUUUUGCACUGUUUGGUCAGGGGAUUGGUGUUAAAAGCCAGAUUAUUAUGAAAAUGGGGAAAGUUUUAUAGGAAUGGAAGUGUCCAGUUGUGCAAAAAUAAGAGCUAACAGGUGGCUAGUGCUAACCAGGCAAAUAGGAAUAAAUGAUGGUUUGGAUGCAGAGCUGUUGCCUUGUUGAAGAUAUCUAGCAAUUUAAUAAGCUCCAGGAACAUAAGAAAUUCCUGAGGGGCCAGUUCUGCAAUGCACUCUGCAAAUGGACUUAAUUGAGUGAUAAUGAGGCUGGUUAUAGGCAACUGUUCACUUAGACCAGCUCUUUACAUGACUGGAUUCAAACUCAUGAGUGCAACGUGGAUUAGAGCAGUGCUUAAAGCAUUUCAGUAUCAGAAAGCCAUCAGAAAUAAAGCAACAAAAAUCAACAAUAAAUAAAUAAAGCAUAAAUAAUCCUUAUUUAUGCUUUUUAACAUCACGUUACCUUGAAAUGCACCUUCCUGCAAAUGGGUGGCUGAACCCAACCUGCACCAGAAAUGUUCCCAGUCAGUCCUGGAUGUUGAUCAUGUUAUGAUCUGGCUCAGAAAUGCUCCUGUUGAGAAAUGGUGUGUCAGUCUGUAACUAAAAAUGACCUGAGAGGAGGUUCCACAGGGAGAGGUUUGAGGUGGGCUCCUGCUCUCUGGCAGCUUCAAGGAGCCAAUGGGCUGCUGAAAUGGUGGCACACUCUGUGCUCCUGCAAGUAAUUGAUUUUAUUAAUAAAAAGUAAUAUGUUCUUAACAUCCUUAAA